CAGCACCGAGCCCAAAGCCUCCCACGUCCUCACGGGGCAAGCAGACCGCCCGCCCCCGGGCAUUGGAAGAAGCGCGGCCUUCACCUCCUGGGCUGGCCGGGGAGCAGGCAGCGCGCCCUGCAGCCAGCAGGAGCCCCAAGCACUGCCCGCCUGCAGCAGGCUCGGAUCGGUACCGGGACAACCCACGUGCGCUGCCUUCUGCUUCGCCCUUGCAAUCAGCCCGGCCCAGCUGCAGGUGUGUGCGGUGAGGACACGCGGGCAGGCUCGGCGCCUUGUGCUGCCGCGCGCCUGGCGGUGAGGGCUGAGCCCCGGCCCCGCUGCGGGGCCGUAGGACGCUGCUAUUCGGUCCCAGCCUGCUGCUUUCCCCAGGACGCGGGUUUUGCCGCUCCCCAAGCGAGGCCGUGCGGAGGGCAGCCCCGGAUCAUCAUUAGGCCAGCACGCUCUGCACUGAUGGAAUCUCCUCUUGCUGAUGUUGGCUGUGCUGGAAAGGCGCUUCCUGGCACUCUGCAAAGCUGACCCCGGGCUGUGCUCUGACAUCAAUGACCGGAUUGGCACGUUCCUUCUGCACAGCUUGCACAUGAACCUGAGCCAUGGCCAGAGGAGAACUGGAAGCAAGAUGUUUGCAGAAUGAGCUCCAGACCUGAUGGUGGGAGCAGGGGUCACUGAGUAGCACGACAGCCUGCCUUGGAGGUUUGAUGUUGUACUGGGAGCACACUGCAGUAUUGUUUGAGAUGGAUCUGAUGGUCGGGGUUACCUUGGAAAACAUGAAAAUCAGAAUUCUUCCUCUGGUUGCAAGAAGGUUUUACAAAUGGAGACGACUUAGUCCUGGCAUCCUGGCUGCAUUCCAGAAGACAUAAACUUUAUUCGUUACAUGACUCUUUCAUGCAAUUUCCAGUGGACAUGAUAAAUUUGAUCUCUUGUGGUUGUAUACGAGGAGCUGUUGUGUUUGACCUUUGCAAUGAUUACAUUUUGAUGGCAAAGUGCUAAAUAAGUUCCGCUGGGGUCCUUCCGGAUAAAAAUGCCAUGCAAAUUUAUUCUUUACGUUAGAUUUA
RNAcentral lists this long non-coding RNA (1052 nucleotides) under Numida meleagris (helmeted guineafowl). RNAcentral's name for it is "lncRNA (ENSNMEG00000005875.1)". Lineage: Eukaryota; Metazoa; Chordata; Aves; Galliformes; Numididae. The record is from RNAcentral.